RNAcentral lists this ribosomal RNA (439 nucleotides) under uncultured bacterium. RNAcentral's name for it is "partial 16S ribosomal RNA". It matches the Rfam family "Bacterial small subunit ribosomal RNA", at positions 339 to 795 of the family's 1533-position model. The record is from RNAcentral.
CUACGGGGUGCUGCAGUGAGGAAUAUUGCACAAUGGGGGGAACCCUGAUGCAGCAACGCCGCGUGGAGGAUGACGCAUUUCGGUGUGUAAACUCCUUUUAUAUGUCAAGAAAAUGACGGUAGCAUAUGAAUAAGCACCGGCUAACUCCGUGCCAGCAGCCGCGGUAAUACGGGGGGUGCAAGCGUUACUCGGAAUCGCUGGGCGUAAAGGACGCGUAGGCGGGUUGGAAAGUCAGGUGUGAAAUCCUACAGCUUAACUGUAGAACUGCACUUGAAACUUCUAAUCUAGAGUAUGGGAGGGGGAGAUGGAAUGAGUGGUGUAGGGGUAAAAUCCGUAGAUAUCACUAGGAAUACCUAAAGCGAAGGCGAUCUCCUGGAACAUUACUGACGCUAAGGCGUGAAAGCGUGGGGAGCAAACAGGAUUAGAUACCCCUGUAGUC